ACCACAACAUCAAUUUCCCAGUUUUAUUCUUUUCCUCCUCAAAACGUCUCCCUCUCAGGUUUUAUAAACUCCAAUUCCUUCCCAAAGUAUAUAUCUGAUUCUGAUAUUCAUUAAAUCUUCAAACCCUCAAAUCAACCAAAGUUUCACUUCUGCUAAGGCGUUUCUUCCUCUUCAUAGCUAGAAGCGAAAAUAAAAAAUGGCCGCGGACAGUGAUACCAGCGAUUCAGGUGUCGGUAGUGGUGAUGAGAUUACCAUUCACAUUAGUUGUUCAAACGGUACCAAGUUUUCUGUGAAGACAAGCCUUGGAUCUACUGUUUUGGAGUUCAAAAGUGUUAUCUCUCAACAUUCUGAUGUUUCAGCUGAGCAACAACGAUUGAUUUACAAGGGUCGGAUCUUGAAAGAUGAACAGACUUUAGAAAGCUAUGGUUUGCAGGAAGAUCACACUGUUCACAUGGUUCGUGGUUUACCAGCUUCAUCAGCUAACACAGCAGGUUCAGCAAAUCUUGGAGGCUCAAACACCACCUCAGGUGCCUCAAGAGCUACUUUUCAAUCCAAUGAAGGCGGGCUUUUUAGGGGGACCAAUCUCGGGGCAUCACUGUUACCAGGGCUCCGUGUAAAUGGUCUAGGUGGCAGUGGAGUACCUGGGAUGUUGGGAACUGAGGCAGAGUUUGAACAAGUCCAGCAACAGCUUACUCAGAAUCCCAACAUGAUGAGGGAAAUAAUGAAUAUGCCCGUCAUGCAGAGCCUAAUGAAUAAUCCCGACUUAAUGCGUACCUUGAUCAUGAGCAAUCCUCAAAUGCGUGAUAUCAUGGAUCGCAAUCCUGAACUUGCACAUAUACUGAAUGAUCCCGGUACUCUACUCCAAACACUAGAAGCUGCAAGGAAUCCUGAACUCAUGCGAGAAAUGAUGCGCAACACUGAUAGGGCCAUGAGCAACAUUGAAUCUUCUCCCGAAGGCUUUAACAUGCUCAGACGUAUGUAUGAAACCGUUCAAGAACCAUUAAUGAAUGCGACAACAAUGGCCGGAGAUGCUGAAAAUAAUUCUGGUUCAAACCUGUUUGCUUCCCUAUUAGGAAACCAAGGGGGACCUCAAGACAGGGAUCGGUCGAUUAACCCUUCAACCACUGGUUCUGCUGCUCCAAAUGCCGAACCGCUUCCCAACCCAUGGGGUGGUGCUGGUGCUGUUAGAGGCACACCAACAAAUACCGCAGCUAGGUUAAAUUCAACAGGAAAUGCAAGGGCACCUGGUAUUGCUGGAUUAGGUGGGCUGGGUCUGCCUGAGAUGGAACAGAUGUUAGGGGGAAUGCAGGAUUUCUCUCAGAUGAAUCAGUUGAUGCAAAAUCCUGCUGUUGCACAGAUAACGCAGAGCCUCCUUUCUGACCCUCAAUACAUGAACCAGAUUCUUGGUCUGAAUCCCCAACUCCGUAGCAUGGUUGAUUCUAAUCCUCAAAUAAGAUACAACACAGGAAGAUUUGCCUAUGCAGCAAGAGUUGACCCGUCUUUUGGGGCAACAUUCAGCCCUGGAUCCAGGACUGACUGGUGGAGCUGCAGCAGGAACACCAAAUAACAUGGGGUUGGAUUUGUUGAUGCACAUGUUUGGUGGACUUGGUGCCAGUGGUUUCAAUGUUCCUAGCACAGCAAAUGUGCCGCCUACGCGACUCAGCUAUCACAGCUUCAAGAAAUGGGAUUUUUUGACACACAAGAGAACAUCCGAGCAUUGAGAGCAACAUCAGGAAAUGUUAAUGCUGCGGUGGAGCGGCUACUGGGAGGAGGAAACCCUGGACAGUAGAUUAUUGCCAAGUGGGUGGCGGUAUCCCCAUGUGCUACUAAUAUACGUAGUCGGUCAUGCUAAUCUUGUGCCUCUGUAUGAUUAGUCAAUUUUCAGUCCGGAGUCUUCUUAAUCAGGAAAAAGAGGGACUCGGCCACAUAUGAGAACUCUGUUUUGGACAUGAACAAGUACAUAGCAACAGAGCCGUCCUAUGGACCAGGCCAGCUAGGCUAUUGCCUAUACACUUAUACUACCUACUUGUAAUCGAAGAACAGGACCAUGAUGUACUUGGGCCAUCUUCCUCAUAUUUAUAAGGGGUGUCUUGAAGUUAGGAAAUUACUAACUUAUCCUUUACUUUUGUUUCAAUUAUGACUAACCUAAUAGCCUCUCCCC
Papaver somniferum (opium poppy) is the source of this 2161-nucleotide RNA transcript. It is a transcript of the gene named ubiquitin domain-containing protein DSK2b-like, with no coding region annotated. NCBI's taxonomy places the organism in Eukaryota, Viridiplantae, Streptophyta, Magnoliopsida, Ranunculales, Papaveraceae. The record is from RefSeq and is a predicted model, not a curated record. The transcript is spliced from 8 exons.